CUUCCUGUGGUCCAGUGGCCCACGACGCCGCCCCGUAGAGGCGGAGACGCACGUUCGACUCGUGUCGGGAAGA
This 73-nucleotide transfer RNA is filed under the name Haloarcula argentinensis. RNAcentral describes it as "tRNA-Tyr". It matches the Rfam family "tRNA". From Rfam's summary of the family: Transfer RNA (tRNA) molecules are approximately 80 nucleotides in length. Their secondary structure includes four short double-helical elements and three loops (D, anti-codon, and T loops). Lineage: Archaea; Methanobacteriati; Methanobacteriota; Halobacteria; Halobacteriales; Haloarculaceae. The record is from RNAcentral. RNAcentral also lists the same sequence under 1 other name.